This 2430-nucleotide long non-coding RNA is filed under the name Malus domestica (apple). RNAcentral describes it as "long non-coding RNA (MDOM_LNC007845)". The record is from RNAcentral. Lineage: Eukaryota; Viridiplantae; Streptophyta; Magnoliopsida; Rosales; Rosaceae.
GAGUGAGUCUUUAUUGAGUUUCAGAACUUUCCUCUCUGAUUUUCUGAUUAUUUUCUCAAUUGGGCUUAUUUCUUACCAAUUUCCUUUGAGAUUUAUGCAUGUGUGUUUGUUAAUGCUCUGUUUCUUCGUUUUUACAGGAAAUGGAAUUGCUCUCUUCCUCUUCUUGGCAACCAUGUAUGCCCUCUCUCUCUCUCAAAUUCUUUCAUUAGGGGUCUAAGGUGAUGCCUUUUUGCCUAAAAUAUCAUUUUGUUAAAUGGCUUAUGAUAUUUUGAUUCUCUGCACAUUCUGCGUAGUUCAAAAAGCAAAAUCUCUCUCUCUCUCUCUCUCUCUCUCUCUCUCUCUCUUUUCCUUUUUGUGGCUAAAGAUCAUGUCUUUUGUGUCAUAAAUUUGUUUUUGUUACAUGGGGUUCUGUAUAUCUUUUGGAUAAUCAAAAAGCUUGAAUGUUUACUAGGUUUCUUUAAAUUUCUUUGAAUUCUACCUUGUGAUUUUGGUUUAGAAAUGUGUAGAAUUACAUUUAUGAGGAUCAUAAGGAAGAGAAGCACAUAUCAGUUCUUAGGCAUUCCAUACGUAAUGACUAUGCUUAACUGCCUACUCCCACUUGGAAUGCUGCUUUGCCUCUCUCUCUCUCUCUCUCUCCCCCCCUUCUGCUGUGUAUUGCCUAAUUAGUUAUUUACAUUUGUUUAUUUGUCUCUGUAAAGCUUUCAUGCUUGGAUUUUAAAUGUAUGAUUCAAUUAGAAACCUUUAUAAUGUUGAUGUUAUAGAACAUUCAACAGAUAUAUAUUCAACAUUAGGUAGCUCUGGCAAAAUCAUAUAGACUAAGAUUUGGUAAUAUAUGGAGGUGAGAGUGAAUCUGCCUUGCUUGCCAUGAUAUAGGCUUGCAAUGAUGGCUUUCUCUUUGUAGUACUACAUUCUACUCUUACAUGCUAACAUCAGAAAGCAGACUAAGAUAGAUCCAAACCCAAUUUUAUUAAUUAAAGUUAACGGAAAGAAAAUGAUUUAUGCAUGCCUUUGUUUAUUUGUCACUUGAUUUUGGUUUAGGUUGACCAUAGCUAAAACAUCCAAGACUUGCCUAACACCUAAUUUGACGAAGACCGUAUCCUUUUUAGCCUUUAGGUGUGUGUUUGCUAGCUAGAUGGGUGGUGGGUGAGUCUUGGAUGUUAUCUUGGAUGUCUUGAUUAUUUUGGUGGGCGAGUCUUGGAUGUUUUGGUUCUGUCUUCUUCAACUCUUAUAUCUUCCCUUUUUCUGAAUUUUCUUUAUUUCUUAUCCUUUAAACUUUGUAUUUUUUUUUAAAUAUAUAUAUUUUUUGGUGAUGCAGAUAGAUGAACAUGUUCAAGGGGAAAUCAUGAACCACAGAUCACUGCAUCUGAAUAUUGUUUGAUUCCAAGAGGUCAGUGAUCGUAAACUUUUUCAUUUUGUAUUUUAAGAAUGAAUUUGGCAAGUUGUGUUUGAAUUUUGUAUAAGUAUCUGCUGAGGGUGGGUGGAUGAAGACAGAACACACUAAAUUUGGCCUCUGGUGUGCUUAAACUGGUACGGGGGAUGGUUAGAACUUUGAGCGCGGAAUGCAGUAGGACUAAAAGGAAAUGCCCUACCCACCGGGGCAAUCCACCACUUGCAGAAUUGUUGUCAAAAUAACUCUGCUAAAAAUAUGAUCUAUACUUCCUGCACUUUGUUUUACUGUGAAGUUGAAAUAGUCUUUAGAGUGGCUUAUUUGUGAUAAUCGAUAAAUAGGUUUGUGUUUAAGACUUGAGAGUAGUGCGGUGUCUUUCUUGCUGGUUCUGCUCACACCACCUCAUCUAGCCAUUGUGAUGGAGUACACGGCUGGGUGAGAACUCUUCGAGAGAAUAUGCAGUGCUAGCAGAUUUAGUGAGGAUGAGAUAAAGUAGUUUCAAAUGCAGAGAAAAUUUCAUUGGAAAUGAUUUUAGUGUAGAGUCUCAAAUAUGGGAUCUCUGAAUGUCCCCUGAAAUGGAAUCCAUCUCGAUUUUCGUCUAGUUUCAGAUAGGGAAAGUUAGGUCUGAAGCAUUUUUACAUAAAUAGUCAGUCAUAAUAUAACUAAAACUUACAUACUUUUUCAAUUUAAUUGUUGUUUUGCAUCAGGCAAGGUUUUUCAUCCAGCAGUUGAUAUCAAGAGUUAGUUGCUGUCAUUUGAUGGUAUGUAAAUCCUAUAAAUUCGGAUUAAAAUUAAAGCAACUAUAGAACAAAAACCUCAAGAAAUCAACGCGAGUUUACCUGUAUUUGAUCAUUUGUGGGAAAAUCAACACAUCGCCGUCGGAAAACUCAGUUCCUUCGCGUCCUUCAAUUACUGUCAACAACGUCUAUCAAAAACCAAGAAAAAAGUGAGUAAUGGAGUCGGCUCAACACCAGAACUCAGUAGCUCCAGGAAAUAAGAAACGGUAAGAAAAAGCAAUCAGAAACCCCGACGAAUUGAGCUGG